Molecule: ribosomal RNA, 330 nt
Filed under: uncultured eukaryote
Lineage: Eukaryota
Description: partial 18S ribosomal RNA
Rfam family: Eukaryotic small subunit ribosomal RNA
Source: RNAcentral
UCCCUUAGAUGUUCUGGGCCGCACGCGCGCUACACUGACAGAGCCAGCGAGUUUUUUACCUUGGCCGGAAGGUCUGGGAAAUCUUGUGAAACUCUGUCGUGCUGGGGAUAGAGCAUUGCAAUUAUUGCUCUUCAACGAGGAAUUCCUAGUAAGCGUGAGUCAUCAGCUCGCGUUGAUUACGUCCCUGCCCUUUGUACACACCGCCCGUCGCUACUACCAAUUGAACGGCUUAGUGAGGUCUUGGGAUUGGCGUUGGGGAGCCGGCAACGGCACCCCGCUGCUGAGAACUUGAUCAAACUUGGUCGUUUAGAGGAAGUAAAAGUCGUAACA